RNAcentral lists this ribosomal RNA (442 nucleotides) under uncultured Oscillibacter sp. RNAcentral's name for it is "bacterial SSU rRNA". It matches the Rfam family "Bacterial small subunit ribosomal RNA", at positions 338 to 795 of the family's 1533-position model. The record is from RNAcentral. Lineage: Bacteria; Bacillati; Bacillota; Clostridia; Eubacteriales; Oscillospiraceae.
CCUACGGGCGGCUGCAGUGGGGAAUAUUGGGCAAUGGACGCAAGUCUGACCCAGCAACGCCGCGUGAAGGAAGAAGGCUUUCGGGUUGUAAACUUCUUUUAAGGGGGAAGAGUAGAAGACGGUACCCCUUGAAUAAGCCACGGCUAACUACGUGCCAGCAGCCGCGGUAAUACGUAGGUGGCAAGCGUUGUCCGGAUUUACUGGGUGUAAAGGGCGUGCAGCCGGGAAGGCAAGUCAGAUGUGAAAUCUGGAGGCUCAACCUCCAAACUGCAUUUGAAACUGCUUUUCUUGAGUAUCGGAGAGGUAAUCGGAAUUCCUUGUGUAGCGGUGAAAUGCGUAGAUAUAAGGAAGAACACCAGUGGCGAAGGCGGAUUACUGGACGACAACUGACGGUGAGGCGCGAAAGCGUGGGGAGCAAACAGGCUUAGAUACCCCAGUAGUC